GUAAAGUUACAACAUCAAAUCAGAUUUUAUUGGUCACAUACACAUAUUUAGCAGAUGUUAUUGCGGGUGUAGUGAAAUGAUAACACCGUAGUCAGUGAUCUGUGGUUUGUAAUCCAUCACUCUCCCAUCCUGUUCUCUCUGUAGUCAAAACAUGGAGCAAGGCGGCCCAUCUCCUCCAUGUGUUUGAGGGACAUAACCAACCUGUCACCAACCUGGUCCUGCACCCUGACACCCCUCCAUCUUCAUCUCUGGCUCUCUGGACGGUACAAUCCGCCUCUGGUGCCUGGACACCCUGACCCAGCUCUGCAGUGUAACAUGUGUGAAGGGGGUUAUGGGACUGGGGCUAACAGAGGAGGGGCUGCUGAAUGCCUGGUCUCUGAGGAACAUGCAGCUCUACCAACCUAACUACUUCCUGGACUUCUGGAGCCACCUGCGCUGCCUAGCCCUCUCCUUCACACUGUGCAAGGCCCUGGACAAGCCCACAUACCUUCUCACCCUGGGGGAGGGCAACAGAUGGUAAGAAGUUGUGCAUAAUGCCCCCACACCCCUUCCACUCACUGCUGAAAGUCCUGCCUAACUUUGCCUAUGGCCGGGCCAGUCGGGCCAUCGCCCUCCUGCUCAGCUCCUGGGAGAUCUGGGUCUACACAGCCAGGACUGACCCAGUGUUCCGUGUGGCUAGGUUGGAAAUCAGGGAGAUGCAGCAGCUCAUUGCUUACAUCAUGCCAAAGGACAGGGCAUGUGUAAAGAGGGAAAAGGCUUUUGCAUUGGCACCGGAGGUCCACCUUGUGACUACGGCAUCCAGUUUGGUGUUAUUGUCCAGUGGUCAAGGGAUCUGUGCACCUUCAUUAGACGUCUCCUGUGAGAAGAGACAAAUCUGGGAGUGUUGUAGCCUGGGAUUUCUCAUCUCUCCUGUCUGCUACUGGACUGAUGAGGGAAUGGUCUGUGCAGAUGCCAUCAACCUCAUACUGUGUGGCAUGCAGGACGGAAGAAUACUAUUCAUGGAUUCAUUCGAAAUCUGAAUUUCUGUGAGAUUAAAAUCCACAAAGAUCCUGUCCAGUGUGGAUGAGAUGAUACCAGCUCCCUGCCCAGUCCCAUCUCCUCUCUGUCUGUGCUUCAGAACCCUGCUCCUUACACAUGGACAGUCCACCACUGACCUCAUACAGACCCUGGGUGAGAUGAUACCAGCUCCCUCCCUAACCUACCAGUCCCAUCUCCUCUCUGUCUGUGCUUCAGAACCCUGCUCCUUACACAUGGACAGUCCACCACUGACCUCAUACAGACCCUGGGUGAGAUGAUACCAGCUCCCUCCCUAACCUACCAGUCCCAUCUCCUCUCUGUCUGUCCUUCAGAACCCUGCUCCUUACACAUGGACAGUCCACCACUGACCUCAUACAGACACUGGAUGAGAUGAUACCAGCUCCCUGCCUAACCUACCAGUCCCAUCUCCUCUCUGUCUGUGCUUCAGAACCCUGCUCCUUACACAUGGACAGUCCACCACUGACCCUGGAUGAGAUGAUACCAGCUCCCUCCCUAACCUACCAGUCCCAUCUCCUCUCUGUCUGUCCUUCAGAACCCUGCUCCUUACACAUGGACAGUCCACCACUGACCUCAUACAGACCCUGGGUGAGAUGAUACCAGCUCCCUCCCUAACCUACCAGUCCCUGCCCAUUCCCAUCUCCUCUCUGUCUGUCCUUCAGAACCCUGCUCCUUCCGCCCCUCUGUCCCGAGCUGCCCCUCUGUCCAGUGGGGUCAUUGAGAGGGGUGGCCAUGGUGAGAAAGCCACGGAGGCGGACAAUAAGGCGGACUAAGACAAUGGUGAAGUGGGGUCCGCGUCCUGCGCCAGAGCCGCCACCGUGGACAGACGCCCACCCAGACCCUCCCCUAUAGGUCAAGGUUUUGCGGCCGGAGUCCGCACCUUUGGGGGGGGGGGUACUGUCACGUUCUGACCUUUAUUUCCUGUGUUUUAUAUUUAGUUAGUAUGGUCAGGGCGUGAGUUGGGUGGGCAGUCUAUGUUUGAUUUUCUAUGAUUUGGGGUUUUCUAUGUUUCGGCCUAGUAUGGUUCUCAAUCAGAGGCAGGUGUCAUUAGUUGUCUCUGAAUGAGAAUCAUACUUAGGUAGCCUGGGUUGCACUGUUUGUUUGUGGGUGAUUGUCUAUGUUGAUGGCUUGUUUCAGCGCAGCUCACAUUAGCGUCACGGUUGUUAUUUUGUUUACUACUUUGGUAUAGUGUUUCAGUGUUCAGUUCUUUCUUGAUUAAACAUUCAACAUGAACACAUAUCACGCUGCAUAUUGGUCCUCCGAUCCUUCUCGCCUCUCCUCUUCAGAUGAAGAGGAGGACGACCAUGACAGAAUCACCCACCAACCAAGGACCGAGCAGCGUGGUAAAGGACAGCGACGAAAGCAGCAGCAGCAUCAACAACAGAGGCCAGCAUCACAGGACUCCUGGACAUGGGAGGAGAUACUGAACGGAGAGGGACCCUGGGCACCGGCUGGGGAAUAUCGCCGCCCCAAAGCAGAGCUGGAGGCAGCGAAAGCUGAGCGGCAGCGAUAUGAGGAGGCAGCACGGCAGCGCGACAGGU
This 2576-nucleotide long non-coding RNA is filed under the name Oncorhynchus kisutch (coho salmon). RNAcentral describes it as "lncRNA (ENSOKIG00005023755.1)". The record is from RNAcentral. Lineage: Eukaryota; Metazoa; Chordata; Actinopteri; Salmoniformes; Salmonidae.